GAGUUUGAUCAUGGCUCAGGACGAACGCUGGCGGCAGGCUUAACACAUGCAAGUCGAACGCCCCUUCGGGGGAGUGGCAGACGGGUGAGUAACGCGUGGGAAUCUACCCAGUUCUACGGAACAACAGUUGGAAACGACUGCUAAUACCGUAUACGCCCUACGGGGGAAAGAUUUAUCGGAAUUGGAUGAGCCCGCGUAAGAUUAGCUAGUUGGUGGGGUAAUGGCCUACCAAGGCGACGAUCUUUAGCUGGUCUGAGAGGAUGAUCAGCCACACUGGGACUGAGACACGGCCCAGACUCCUACGGGAGGCAGCAGUGGGGAAUAUUGGACAAUGGGCGCAAGCCUGAUCCAGCCAUGCCGCGUGAGUGAUGAAGGCCUUAGGGUUGUAAAGCUCUUUCAGUAGGGAAGAUAAUGACGGUACCUACAGAAGAAGCCCCGGCUAACUUCGUGCCAGCAGCCGCGGUAAUACGAAGGGGGCUAGCGUUGUUCGGAUUUACUGGGCGUAAAGCGCACGUAGGCGGUUUGUUAAGUCAGAGGUGAAAUCCCGGAGCUCAACUCCGGAACUGCCUUUGAUACUGGCAAGCUAGAGUCCGGAAGAGGUAAGUGGAACUCCUAGUGUAGAGGUGGAAUUCGUAGAUAUUAGAAGAACACCAGUGGCGAAAGCGGCUUACUGGUCCGGAACUGACGCUGAGUGCGAAAGCGUGGGGAGCAAACAGGAUUAGAUACCCUGGUAGUCCACGCCGUAAACUAUGAGAGCUAGCCGUUGGGGUGGUUUACCACUCAGUGGCGCAGCUAACGCAUUAAGCUCUCGCCUGGGGAGUACGGUCGCAAGAUUAAACUCAAAGGAAUGACGGGGCCCGCACAGCGGUGGAGCAUGUGUUAUCGAGCACGCGAGACUACAGCCCUGACAUGUCGACGUUCAGAGAUGAUCUCACUCCGUGACUGACACACAGUGCUGCAUGCUGUCGUCAGCUCGUGUCCUGAAUGUGGGUUAGUCGCAACGAGCGCAUCUCGUCUUAGUUGCAUCAUUAGUGUACUCUAGGAACUGCGGUUAAGCGAGCAGUGGAUGACGUCAGUCCAUGAUGUAGCUGCUACAACAGUGUCACAAUGUGUGGUUGAC
RNAcentral lists this ribosomal RNA (1120 nucleotides) under uncultured marine bacterium. Its description in RNAcentral is "bacterial SSU rRNA". It matches the Rfam family "Bacterial small subunit ribosomal RNA", at positions 9 to 1242 of the family's 1533-position model. The record is from RNAcentral.